CAGAUACAGCGGGAGGGAACAGUGGUGGAUUUGUUGCAGGAGGGGGCCUCUCAUCAUCUGUAGCCAAGGCUUUUCCAAGAUGUCAUCUUGUUUUCAUCCAGGCAUUAUGCUAAGCUAACCAGCUGCUGGCUGCAUGUUUUUGGUGCUGAUACAGUAUGAGAGGGAUAGUGUGUGUGUGUGUGUGUGUGUGUGCGCGUGUACACACACGGUAUCUGCUAAACCAACCUUCUCACCCUCAUCGGGUUUUAACACCCAAAGCCAAAUUUGAUUUGAUCAUUGUUGGUUAUUUACCGUCUGCCUGGAAAAACCUCUUUCACUUAGUGCCUAUUAGAUUACGGAGGGGCUGGCACGCACACGUGUGUGUGUGUGUGUGUGUGUGUGUGCACGCGGCGCACAAACAAACACUCCGUGCCGCUUGGCAAAUUGGCGCCUGUUUGAGCAGAACGCACUUGUUUAUAUGAAUAUUCGACAUCAAGGAAACCAAGCGGCCGAACAUGUGUGCACUGUUUCAAGCGUCUUUUUAAUGAUUUUCGUCUGUCUUCGGUCGUGUCUCUGUGUUCGUGUGUGGCGGCGUGUCUUUUUAUUUGUUUGUUUGCGUCUGAUGAAUGGAGCGAUUAAGUAAGUGUGAUCUUUGUGUGUGUACAUUAGCGCGCCUGUGAGUUAUCGGUUUGCGUCGGCAGCGUGAUGAAUGUGUGGCCGACACACAGCAGCUCAUCAUUCAGCCGACCAAGGAACCAGAUGAACUCGCUCCACAGCGCGCUGCGUUUGAUGGCCCGUGUGUGUGUGUGUGUGUGUGUGUGUUUGGGCUUCAGCAAGGCGUUUCUACCCGUGCACGAGCACUCCAACCAGCGUGCUACUGAUUCCCCGCUCAUGUGGUUACACGUUGUUUAAAGGCGUAUUUAUUGGUGGGUCCGUCACCAGGACGUGCUCACACCAACAUCACGGCCCCCAUCAUUCUUUUGCUUAAUUGCAGAUAGAAUAACUGAGCGUACAGUAGUUUGGUCAGCGAGCUUGAUAAAAGCCAUGACGGCUCUACAACAAAUGAUCUGGACCAGACUAAAUUAAAAUCACACGUUUAGCACAAUUCAUGAUAUAAAUAUAUAUAUUA
Gasterosteus aculeatus aculeatus (three-spined stickleback) is the source of this 1108-nucleotide long non-coding RNA. NCBI's taxonomy places the organism in Eukaryota, Metazoa, Chordata, Actinopteri, Perciformes, Gasterosteidae. The record is from Ensembl.